Molecule: ribosomal RNA, 497 nt
Filed under: uncultured bacterium
Lineage: Bacteria
Description: partial 16S ribosomal RNA
Rfam family: Bacterial small subunit ribosomal RNA
Source: RNAcentral
GAUGAACGCUGGCGGCGUGCCUAAUACAUGCAAGUCGAGCGAACGGACGAGAAGCUUGCUUCUCUGAUGUUAGCGGCGGACGGGUGAGUAACACGUGGAUAACCUACCUAUAAGACUGGGAUAACUUCGGGAAACCGGAGCUAAUACCGGAUAAUAUUUUGAACCGCAUGGUUCAAAAGUGAAAGACGGUCUUGCUGUCACUUAUAGAUGGAUCCGCGCUGCAUUAGCUAGUUGGUAAGGUAACGGCUUACCAAGGCAACGAUGCAUAGCCGACCUGAGAGGGUGAUCAGCCACACUGGAACUGAGGCACGGUCCAGACUCCUACGGGAGGCAGCAGUAGGGAAUCUUCCGCAAUGGGCGAAAGCCUGACGGAGCAACGCCGCGUGAGUGAUGAAGGUCUUCGGAUCGUAAAACUCUGUUAUUAGGGAAGAACAUAUGUGUAAGUAACUGUGCACAUCUUGACGGUACCUAAUCAGAAAGCCACGGCUAACUACGUG